This is a long non-coding RNA of Pogoniulus pusillus (Red-fronted tinkerbird), 1019 nucleotides long. RefSeq lists it as uncharacterized. NCBI's taxonomy places the organism in Eukaryota, Metazoa, Chordata, Aves, Piciformes, Lybiidae. The transcript is spliced from 5 exons. The record is from RefSeq and is a predicted model, not a curated record.
GGAGUCUGCUUCUCUGGAGACUUUUCAGACCCAUCCAGAUGCAUUCCAGUGUGGCCUGCCCUGAGAAAUUAUGUCCCAAACAUGACUUUUAUUGUGUUGUUCAUGGAUCAUCACCAGGAUCUUCCUGGUCUUAUGCUGUUGAUGGCACUCAUGGGCAUGGACAGUGCAGCUCCCAGCCCAGGCUCUGACUUUCUGCUUCUGCACUUUCCAGCUUGUACUUUCCCUGAGAGCCAUGAACAGGAUGAAGUUUGUUGGCUCAAGUGAACUUUGUGGUGUCUGAUUUGCUGCCCUUCUUGUGUGGAAGUGGAGUUUGGUUGCUUGACUUUUUCUUUGCUGUCUUGUUCAAUGCAAAGAGUUUCUAAAAGCUUUGUCCAUACUUCUGGGUCCUGCUGCCUGAUUUAUGCUCUUUUGGAGCCACUCCAGAAGCCAACAUCUGCUGACAGGUAGCAGCUUUUUGGAGUAAGGUCUUGCAGGGUAUAAAUCAGUAGCAAAGCACCCUUGGAAGAUGCUUGGCUGUCUUCUCCAGUGCAGUAAGAGCUUGGUUUGAGGAUGGAUGUUUCAGAUGAUGAGAUACACUAAUGCCCCAGCAAAGUUGGCAUUUUAUGUCCCACUUGUUUUUCCCCAAAGGUUUUGUGAUGGAUCCAUAAAUUCACUCCUGGAACGUGGAGUGAAUACCAAGGGAGUUACCUGUGGUGCCUGCCCGAGAGCACAGGGGUCACUGUCAUGGGAAAGGAGAAGAAAAGAUCUGGCAGGGCACAGUAAGCAGAACAAUGGAUUUGUCUCAGCUUUUGCUUAGGGACAAGGAAAAGCAGAUUAAUGGCUGAAGGUUUGCUGCCUCUUCUGUGCUAAGGUGAGUGCUUGGACUUGAUGAUCUCAAAGGUCUCUUCCAGCCUCACAACUGUGUGGUUCUCUUGACUCUCUAUAAUUUGUCCUGGCUGUGAAGAUGUGAUAAAUACACAUUCCAACUGACUGCAAGGUUCUUUUUUCCCUGGUGGGUUCUUAAUGCUGACAUACAUCUG